RNAcentral lists this microRNA (22 nucleotides) under Macacine alphaherpesvirus 1. Its description in RNAcentral is "hbv-miR-B7-5p". Its record names the gene hbv-miR-B7-5p. The record is from miRBase by way of RNAcentral. Lineage: Duplodnaviria; Heunggongvirae; Peploviricota; Herviviricetes; Herpesvirales; Orthoherpesviridae.
UUCUGGGCCUCGGGUUCGCUUC